Long non-coding RNA from Octopus sinensis (East Asian common octopus), 103 nucleotides. RefSeq lists it as uncharacterized. The record is from RefSeq and is a predicted model, not a curated record. The transcript is spliced from 3 exons. NCBI's taxonomy places the organism in Eukaryota, Metazoa, Mollusca, Cephalopoda, Octopoda, Octopodidae.
AUCGACCCCAGUAUGUCUUUUAUCUCUUAUUUUUUUCAGUCACUGGACUGUGGCCAUGCUAGAGCACCACCUUAAAAGGGUUAGCUGAACAAACCAACCUCAG